UUCAUGAUUGGCCUAUAACAUAAAACCCCAAAAAAAAUUAAGUGUCCCGCUCUUCUUCACUGUACAACCCCCGCGCAUUCCUUUUCUUCUCCUUCUUUUUCAUUCCGCCAGCGACCCAAACGACUCCUCAACUACGGUCAUGGAACUGACUCUCCCUUCUCAACUCUGGUCAUGAUAGUGCCGUCCUCAACUCUGCGCGACAUCCUCAGCUUCACCAAGGCCGUCAUUCGACAGCAGCUCCUUCCGUCAAUUGUGGCAAAGUUGUGUUAGCGGAUUAAUUGGAGGAAAUAUUAUCAAAGAAAGUUAAGUAUAAUUAAUUUCUUCUUAUUGUUUAUGUAUAAUCUUUCUAAUUUCAGAAAAAUUGAGGAUGAGACUUGAGAAUCUAGCUUGCAAGCUAUGAUUAAAUGAGUUUCAAGUAUGGUUCAUAGUCUCUCUUUCUUUGUUUCUUCUUGGCUGGUUGUUUAUUGAAUACAUUUUAGCACCCCUACUCUUUAAAAGGUUCACUUUCAUAAAAAAUAAUAAUAGUAAGUUAUUUUUUAGCCUUUAACUGUCCAUUGAUGUUUUUAUUUUCGUGUUGUUUUCUAGAAAGAACCAAAUCAAUAGUCUAUUGGCAAUAGGGAUAGAGGAACUAUCAUUUUUAUUUAACAAGAGAAGAUAAUAUUCUGUUAGGAACUAUCAUGAGAUAUUGUUUAUUUUUUCUAUUGUUUUGAAAGCAGAUUUUUAAAUGGAUUUGGUUCAGAAUUAGCCUUAAUAUUAGUACUAAUUUGAAUUGUUUUAGUGGGACACUCCAAAUUCCAAUGAAUAAUCAUUCCAAAAGCCUUGCUUUAAUUUAUGCAUCACACGUAGGCAAAUCCUGAUGACUAAUUAUUUUAUAUACAUGUAUAUAUACAUUACUUAAAAGGGGUGCGAUCUAAUUGCUAUGUUUAAUUUGUGAUCAUGUUCUUGACUCAAUUGUGAGUCUGCUAAUUACAUGUUUUUUUUGGUUUGUCAAAGGACGGUGUACUAAUAUGAUGACUGAGUUCUUUGACACUUUUUAUGAGGAGAAUAUGUGAUUUGGGGGACCAUUUGUGUUCUUUCAGACACUCCCAGAUUAUGAAAGGCAUAAAACGCAAGGAGUUGAGUUUAGUGCACCUGUACUAAUUUUGACUUGAUUUUCUAGUACCAUAAUUCUCAGACUAAAGAUUUCUUGGUCUAAAUCUAUUACUAAUUUUUAAUAUUUUAGUUUCAUUAAGCUUUCUCUUUAUCUCUACAUAUAUAUGAUUGUAUCAUGCAAGUAUCAUCUUGAUUGUGACUAAAUAUAUGUGUGCCUUAACAAUGGCCAGAUAGAUAGUGAUGUCAGAUUUGGUUAGCAAGGUUUAUGUGUCUGUUGUGUGUCAUUUAUAAACUAGUUUCAGCCAUAUCAAUUUCACUUUUUUUUUUUUACAAUUAUGAUAUUUGGAUAGGAGAAAUCUUUGAACUCAAAAUUUAUCUUUGUUUUGUUGGGAUCAUCUUGAGUCUCUCAAACAAAAAUGAAGCAAGAACCACUUCUACUUUUGUAGUUGCACUUGGACACUGUUGAGGUGAAGUCGUAUUCAGGCAAAUCAUUCUUUA
Molecule: long non-coding RNA, 1590 nt
Organism: Humulus lupulus (European hop)
Lineage: Eukaryota; Viridiplantae; Streptophyta; Magnoliopsida; Rosales; Cannabaceae
Exons: 2
Source: RefSeq, a predicted model, not a curated record